GACAGAGGGUGCAAACGUUGCUCGGAAUCACUGGGCGUAAGGGGCGUGUAGGCGGGAAGGCAAGUCAGAUGUGAAAGCCCUGGGCUCAACCCAGGAACUGCAUUUGAAACUCCCUUUCUUGAGUGUCGGAGAGGAAAGCGGAAUUCCUGGUGUAGAGGUGAAAUUCGUAGAUAUCAGGAGGAACACCGGUGGCGAAGGCGGCUUUCUGGACGACAACUGACGCUGAGACGCGAAAGCGUGGGGAGCAAACAGG
Molecule: ribosomal RNA, 253 nt
Filed under: uncultured bacterium
Lineage: Bacteria
Description: partial 16S ribosomal RNA
Rfam family: Bacterial small subunit ribosomal RNA
Source: RNAcentral